This 304-nucleotide ribosomal RNA is filed under the name uncultured bacterium. RNAcentral's name for it is "partial 16S ribosomal RNA". It matches the Rfam family "Bacterial small subunit ribosomal RNA", at positions 506 to 807 of the family's 1533-position model. The record is from RNAcentral.
CAGCAGCAGCCACGGGAAUACGGAGGGGGCUAGCGUUGUUCGGAAUUACUGGGCGUAAAGCGCACGUAGGCGGCUUGGUAAGUUAGAGGUGAAAGCCUGGAGCUCAACUCCAGAAUUGCCUUUAAGACUGCCGAGCUAGCAGGUGAGAGAGGUAAGUGGAAUUCCGAGUGUAGAGGUGAAAUUCGUAGAUAUUCGGAAGAACACCAGUGGCGAAGGCGGCUUACUGGCUCAUACUGGACGCUGAGGUGCGAAAGCGUGGGGAGCAAACAGGAUUAGAUACCCCGGUAGUCCCUGUCUCUUAUAC